This is an RNA transcript of Mauremys reevesii (Reeves's turtle), 8337 nucleotides long. It is a transcript of the gene named arginine-glutamic acid dipeptide repeats, with no coding region annotated. The record is from RefSeq and is a predicted model, not a curated record. NCBI's taxonomy places the organism in Eukaryota, Metazoa, Chordata, Testudines, Geoemydidae. The transcript is spliced from 23 exons.
UGUGUGAGCAGGAAGGAGGAGGAGGCAGAGCCCGGCUGCCCCCCCCCCACCCCUCCAGACGCUCGCGGAGCCUCCCCCACGCACCCUCCCCGCCGCCCGGGUCCCUGAGUCGCCGCCUCCUGCCGCCGCCUCUAGCCGCUGCACAUUGUCUGCCCAGCCCUGCGCGGCCAUGCCCCGGGGCUCCUGCUGCUGAAGGACCCGAGCCCUCCUGAGCCCCCCCGCCGCCGCGCCUCCGCCCCCCCGCCGCUUUCUGUCUCCCCCGCCGCGCCUGGGCUGAGCCCCCCUCCCCUGCUCCUCUCCUUCCUCACCCCCCCACUUCUUUCCAGAGCCUGCCUGGCACCCCAGAAACACCCACUGAUGGUGUAGCGCCUCAGGGGAAGAGCUUCUUUAAAACGCUGGGGUUCUUGGAGUGGUCGAAUUUUUCCUGGAAUUGAGUGAGAAAUUCAGAAGACUGAAGCCCAGGCUUACUGUCUACCUUUCACGGAGGCCCAGCCGUGAGAGGACAGAAGAAGGCACGUGGCGAAUCAUGACAGCUGACAAAGAGAAGGACAAAGACAAAGAGAAGGACAGGGACCGGGACCGGGACAGGGAGCGAGACAAGAGAGAGAAAGUGAGAGAGAGUGAAAACUCCCGUCCUCGUCGGAGCUGCACUUUGGAAGGAGGUGCCAAGAAUUACGCCGAAAGUGACCACAGUGAAGAUGAGGACAAUGACAACAACAGUGCAACCACAGAGGAGUCUACCAAGAAAAAUAAAAAGAAGCCGCCGAAGAAGAAAUCUCGCUAUGAGAGAACCGACAAUGGUGAAAUAACGUCCUUCAUCACGGAGGAUGAUGUUGUCUACCGGCCUGGAGAUUGCGUAUAUAUUGAAAGUCGCCGGCCGAACACCCCAUACUUCAUCUGCAGCAUUCAAGACUUCAAAUUGAGCAAACGGGACCAUCUCCUUAUGAAUGUCAAAUGGUACUAUCGCCAGUCGGAAGUCCCAGAUUCAGUCUAUCAGCAUUUGGUUCAGGACCGACACAACGAGAACGAUUCUGGACGAGAGCUUGUUAUUACAGAUCCAGUGAUCAAGAAUCGAGAGCUCUUCAUUUCAGAUUAUGUUGACACUUAUCAUGCUGCUGCCCUCAGAGGGAAGUGUAAUAUUUCCCAUUUCUCUGACAUAUUUGCUGCUAGAGAGUUUAAAGCCCGAGUGGAUUCAUUUUUCUACAUAUUGGGCUACAAUCCAGAGACAAGGAGGCUGAACAGCACCCAGGGCGAGAUCAGAGUUGGACCCAGCCAUCAGGCCAAGCUUCCAGACUUGCAGCCGUUUCCUUCUCUGGAUGGCGACACUGUGACACAACAUGAAGAACUUGUGUGGAUGCCAGGGGUCAAUGACUGUGACCUGCUCAUGUACCUCAGGGCAGCAAGGAGCAUGGCAGCUUUUGCAGGGAUGUGUGAUGGAGGAUCCACAGAAGAUGGCUGCGUUGCAGCCUCUCGCGAUGACACUACGCUCAAUGCACUCAACACACUACAUGAAAGUAACUACGAUGCUGGAAAAGCCCUGCAGCGUUUGGUGAAGAAGCCUGUGCCCAAACUGAUUGAGAAGUGUUGGACUGAAGAUGAAGUGAAACGCUUCAUUAAAGGGCUGAGACAGUACGGCAAGAACUUCUUCAGGAUCCGAAAGGAGUUACUUCCCAAUAAGGAGACUGGAGAACUCAUCACUUUCUAUUACUAUUGGAAGAAAACCCCUGAAGCAGCAAGUUCCCGAGCCCACCGUAGGCAUCGAAGGCAGGCUGUGUUUCGGAGAAUUAAGACUCGAACUGCUUCCACUCCAGUCAACACUCCCUCCAGGCCCCCCUCUAGCGAAUUCUUGGACUUGAGCUCAGCCAGCGAAGAUGAUUUUGACAGCGAGGACAGUGAACAGGAACUGAAGGGUUACGCCUGUCGUCACUGCUUCACAACCACCUCCAAGGACUGGCACCACGGCGGUCGCGAAAACAUCUUGCUGUGCACUGACUGCCGCAUCCACUUCAAGAAGUACGGAGAGCUCCCGCCCAUUGAGAAACCAGUGGACCCUCCGCCCUUUAUGUUUAAGCCUGUCAAAGAGGAAGAUGAUGGACUCAGCGGAAAGCAUAGCAUGAGGACGAGGCGGAGUCGAGGCUCGAUGUCUACACUACGUAGUGGUCGUAAAAAGCAGCCAGCCAGUCCCGAUGGUAGAGCCUCACCCACCAACGAAGACAUCAGAUCCAGUGGCCGCAACUCUCCCAGUGCUGCUAGCACCUCCAGUAAUGACAGCAAAGCAGAUUCUGUGAAGAAGUCCACCAAGAAGAUAAAAGAAGAGGCAUCUUCUCCUCUCAAGAGUUCCAAGCGCCAGCGGGAAAAGACAGCAUCUGACACAGACGAACCAGAGAGAACCACUGCCAAAAAAUCCAAAACUCAAGAGAUCAGCAGGCCAAACUCUCCCUCGGAGGGCGAAGGCGAAAGCUCGGAUAGUCGCAGCGUCAAUGACGACGGGAGCAGCGAUCCAAAGGACAUUGACCAGGACAACCGAAGCACGUCACCCAGUAUCCCCAGCCCCCAGGACAAUGAGAGUGACUCAGAUUCAUCUGCUCAGCAGCAGAUGCUACAGGCGCAACCUCAAGUGCUCCAGGCACAGAAUGUCCCUGCCCAGGCUCCACCUUCUACCCCGCCCGUAUCAACACAGUUACCAACACCCAUACCAGCAGCAUCAAGCACCCCUACAGCUCCCCUGCAGGUUUCACCAUCAGUGUCUCAGCCUCCCAGCCAGCCCCCAGCGCCGCCGCCACCUCACUCGCACAUACAGCAGGCCCCUGCUUUGCACCCUCAGAGACUCCCUUCACCGCACCCGCCGCUACAGCCUUUGACGGUGUCUCAGAGUCAACCCCAGGGUCCUGCCUCGUCGCAGCCACAUUCACAGCCUCCGCUUCAUGGCCAGGUCCAGCCUGUCCCUCAUAACCUGCAGGCCCAGCCUCUCCUGCCUCAUCCGGUACCUCCUCAGCCUUUCCCUCUCCCCUCACAGCCUUCUCAGUCUCAGGUUCCCCUUCAGACACAGGCUGCUUCUCACCCUCAUGCUGCUCUGCAGGUUCAAGCAGUGCAACCUGCCCUGCAAGCCCAGGCUCCCCUGCAGCAAGCUCAGCCCCCUCGGGAGCAGCCCCUGCCUCCAGCACCCAUGGCCAUGCCUCACAUCAAACCCCCUCCUACUACCCCGAUCCCUCAGCUUCCCACUCCCCAGUCCCACAAGCACCCUCCCCACCUCUCCGGGCCGUCUCCAUUCUCCAUGAAUUCCAACCUGCCGCCACCACCUGCUCUGAAACCUCUGAGCUCCCUUUCCACCCAUCACCCUCCUUCUGCGCACCCUCCUCCCUUGCAGCUGAUGCCUCAGAGUCAGCCACUGCAGUCUUCUCCAGCCCAGCCUCCAGUCCUGACUCAGAGUCAGAGUCUUCCACCGGCAGCGAGCCACCCCCCAGCCAGUCUCCAUCAGGUAUCCUCCCAGGCGCCCUUUUCUCAGCAUCCAUUUGUCCCUGGGGGCCCACCUUCCAUCACUCCUCCAUCCUGCCCCUCCACUUCCACACCACCUUCCGUGCCUGGCGUCCCAUCUCAGACAUCUGUCGCCACCUCUGCGGCUUCCAGUGGAAACGUUCCAGUGGUGACGUCCUGCGCAAUACCGCCUAUCCAGAUCAAAGAGGAGGCUCCCGAUGAGGCAGAGGAACCAGAAAGCCCACCUCCCCCACCCAGAAGCCCAUCGCCUGAACCUACUGUGGUCGACACACCGAGUCAUGCCAGUCAAUCAGCCAGGUUCUAUAAGCACCUGGAUCGUGGCUACAACUCAUGCGCAAGGACAGACCUGUACUUCAUGCCUCUGGCAGGAUCCAAACUGGCCAAGAAGAGAGAGGAGGCAAUCGAGAAGGCCAAGCGGGAGGCAGAGCAGAAAGCAAGAGAAGAGAGGGAGAGGGAGAAAGAGAAGGAGAAAGAGAGGGAGAGAGAGCGGGAGCGCGAAAGAGAAGCAGAAAGAGCGGCGGUAGGUUUAUCGGUCUGCCGUGCAGCAUGGCAGAAAGUGUCCAGCUCCUCUCAUGAAGGUCGCCUUGGGGAGCCCCAGCUCACUGGACCAACUCACAUGAGACCUUCAUUCGAACCUCCACCCACAACCAUCGCCGCUGUUCCACCUUACAUAGGUCCAGACACGCCUGCGUUACGGACUCUCAGCGAGUACGCCCGUCCUCACGUGAUGUCACCCACAAACCGCAACCACCCAUUCUUUGUUCCCCUUAACCCCACUGAUCCUCUCCUGGCCUACCACAUGCCCGGCCUCUAUAAUGUGGACCCCACCAUCCGGGAACGGGAGCUCCGGGAGCGCGAGAUCCGGGAGCGUGAGAUCAGGGAAAGAGAGUUGCGAGAGAGGAUGAAACCAGGCUUUGAGGUGAAACCACCCGAACUCGAUGCACUGCACCCAGCUACCAACCCCAUGGAGCAUUUUGCCAGGCACGGCGCACUGACUAUACCCCCAACAGCUGGACCCCAUCCAUUUGCUUCCUUCCACCCGGGUUUGAACCCCCUUGAAAGGGAGAGGCUUGCACUGGCAGGCCCCCAGUUACGGCCUGAAAUGAGCUACCCCGAUAGACUGGCCGCAGAAAGAAUACACGCCGAGCGGAUGGCAUCGCUCACCAAUGACCCACUGGCACGGCUCCAGAUGUUCAACGUGACGCCUCACCAUCACCAACAUUCACAUAUACAUUCGCAUCUACACCUCCAUCAGCAGGACCCGCUACAUCAAGGUUCAGCAGGACCUGUUCACCCGUUGGUGGAUCCCUUGGCAGCUGGACCCCACUUGGCACGUUUUCCCUACCCUCCUGGUACCAUCCCCAACCCACUGCUAGGGCAGCCACCACACGAGCAUGAAAUGCUCCGACACCCGGUCUUCGGUACCCCCUACCCACGAGACCUGCCUGGUGCUAUCCCACCUCCAAUGUCAGCAGCCCAUCAACUGCAGGCCAUGCAUGCCCAGUCAGCAGAGCUGCAAAGACUGGCUAUGGAGCAGCAGUGGUUGCACGGGCAUCCCCACAUGCACGGGGGGCAUCUACCAAGUCAGGAAGAUUAUUACAGAAAAAAAAAACACCUUAUGAACAGAAAUAAGAGAGGAAUUCACCAGCAAGUAAAUCUGAACAAAUUAUUGAUGGGCGACAGUUGAUGAAAGCAUAACUAAUACAGACGCUGGACGAAUGGCUGAGCAGAUCUCGACCGGUCAUUCGACUGAAGAAAGAAGGUGACAAACAGUUGUAAUAAAUUAUUUAUUUGUAAUGCCGGCUAUGGAAACCCCAGUCCUUGGGAAGGAAUGGAACAUUUUUUACGUACAAUAAGAGCUGCAAAAGAAUAUCUUAUAAAGAUUUCUUUAUAUAUUUAAAUCUAAAGAAAACACCCACCUCCCCUACCAACAGCUAAAGACUUACUGGCAUAAAUAGUGUUCAUUUGUAGAGAAGAUUUCUCAAGACUGGUGUGGGCUUCCCUGCAUGACCACCUAUUCAGAAGCCUAUUGAAAAUACAGGACUGUUUGGAAUUCUCAGAGAACUACCCUGCAAUCUUGGGGGGGUUGUUUUUGUUUGAUUGAUUUUGGGUAGGUGCUAGAAUCAGGUUCACAACACGACAGUCACUGUGCGUGAAGAGACACUCAAUGCAUCUAUAUAUAUAUAUAUAUAAAAAAAACGGAAAAAAAUAAGGAUUGCAAGUAGGUGGCAUAACAAGCUCUGAAUUCAAGUGCUAUAAUAAUAAAAAAAAAUUACUUUUAUUUUAAUACACUGUAGGAAAUCUUCAUACUUUUAACGAGAGCUCAGUUCUUCAGCAUGGCUUUUUAAGUCUGUAAAUAAUGUUUUGGGUGGUUGGGGAGGAAAAAUAACCAAACUCCACAAACAUAACAAUCUUGAUUUUCAGUAAUAUCCCAAGUCCUGGUAGUGACAGAAUACAGAGUUGAUUUUUAAUAAAAAAAACAAAUAUAUAUAUAUAAUUAUCCCUUUAAUUAAAGGGAAAUGAGGGGUGUCAAUAAUUUCAAAUGGGCAAAUGCUUGAAAUUUGAUUUGGUAGCAAUUCAAGGCAGUUGCAGGGAUAAUGUUACAAAUGACUGUUUCUGUUCUGUUUUUUCCCCCCCAUUAUCAUUAUACCUUUCCAUUCUGCAGAUGACUUUUGUUGAGUUCUGCUUCUCAGCAAUACAGAUGUCCCUUGGAACUGGCUUGCCCUUUCUGUCUCUAACGUAGAGGUUAUUGUUAAAUUUGGCUGUAGUCUGCCUCCUUCUCUUGUCUUUUAAAAACAAUUGUCUCGCUAAAUUUGUGUUAAGCUAUCUCUUUAAAUUUUAGCAAAUAUUAGCAAAAUUCUAAGAAAUAAUAUCUUCCUUUAAAUACGAUAUGUAGCUCAAACUAUUAAAGUCAGGGUUAUGUGGGUAGAAAAUUGUUGGACGGGCCCACUUUCUCUGGCUUUUGUUUUACAUAUUUCUAAGGAGAGACUAGACAAUUGGACUACAGAGUUGUGUUUUUAAAGUUGUUUCACAAACACCAAUAAUCUAAAUUUAACCUGUCUCGUACUGAAGGCUGCUUGGGGUUUUUUUUUCCUAACCUCUCUUAAGGGUUUGUGUAUCAAGGAACCUGCUGCUGUGAGAUCAGCCAGAGGUGUUCAGUAACAUUGCUGACUCCCAACACAACAGGUUCAUGCUGAAUGGCCCAGAUUGGCUGGAAGAAGAACUUUGCCCAUGUGUAUCCUUGGCUGAUAUAUGGCAAAGGAGAGAGGGCACACACAGUAGAAUAGGCAUAUAUUUUUGUAGAUAGCUUUGCUCACUGCCUAAGCCAAGAUGCACAUCUUUCUUGCACACACCCCCACACACCAAAACCAUAUUUUUGUUGUUGCAUUGGCCAUGUUUUUGAUAAGGCAGAGGGUGGUGGAUCCAGAGAACAUCUGCAUCUGCUGGCCAUGUUUUCUACUGGUACAUAACCUCUUCCAUUCUCUCUCUUAACUCUUUGAGGGCUGUAGCUCUGCUGUGGUAGACUGUUGUAUGUGGUGGUCAUGUCAUAGGACUGUAUUGAGCCAUGUUAGAUAAACUUGUAGUUAAUCAUUCAGCCUUGUGGAAGGCAUGGCAUGAAUGGUGCUUCCACCACCACAUAGGGCAGAAACCAACAUUACCAUGUUGCUACUCCAUUGGCUGCACUGAUGGGUAGGUAAUGGCACCGAUUUAUGAAUUAAAACCUGCAUCAGGGAAUUCCAGGCUUAGUGUAUCCAUCUGUGUAGCAUGUGUGUCCAGGGGAGGAGGGCUUGUUUCAGUUCCAUCUCAUCUCUUUUCUCAUCCUUUCAUUCCAAUUUUCCUUUUAAUGCCAUUUCAGUUCCUUAGAGUGAGUCAGUCCCAUCAGAACUCUGUGUGAACUCCUGUCUGCCAAGACUCCAGUGUUUGACACCUGGGAGUUCUCGGGCUUGGAUACCAAGAGAUUCACCCUAGAACCAGGAACGAUAAUAUUUGUACAUUACUUCCAGUCUCUGUCUCUGGUUGUCGAGUGAAAAAGCAUUAACACCUAUCCAGCAAGUGUCAUGGCAGAGGUGCUCAUAAAAUUUCCCUGGCCAAAAGCAUCAAUGUACUGACGGCUUUAUUUAAGUACAUUUCCAUCAAAAUUCAGUUUUUUUCACUGUCUAGAGGGAAGGGUAGGCAUGACACCACCACCUGUCGCACAUGAUGCUGCCUCCCUAUUUCAGGUUUGUUUGGGUCUUUUUAGUAAAAAGAUGUUGAUUCCUUCGUGUUGUCCUUUCUCUCUCCUUCCAUUUUUCCAAAGAACAAAGUAGUGCUUUGCACUCCCUAUUCAAAAAGCUUUCCCUUGAUCUUUUUUUUUUUUUUUUUGCAGCUCAGUAGAAUCUUUUAUGUUUCUGACAUCGUGGCACAAAGAAGCUCUGAGAUUCUUCCAUCUCAAUCCAAUGAUUAACUACAGCUUUAUUUGCAAUGGCUUUUGAAACCAUCUUGGUGUUCGAUGCCCUGUUGUUAUAACCCAGACCUUUUGGUUUCCUUUCAGAAAUCUCUCUUAUUUUUUCCUGUGUUUUGAAGGUUUUUUUUAUUUUGCUUUAGUGUUUCUGAAACGUCUCUUGUUCUAUGUCGUCAUGGUUGAGCUUGUUUCACUGCACCGUUAAAGCAGAGUGUACAUUCUGACUGCUACAUUUAUAUAUAUCUUGAAGCUUAAUGUAUAUAUGAGUAGUUUGCCAUGGGAUAACACAGUGUAAACAGAGUAGAAACCCAGAAAUCGUGACUUCUGUGUUCUCUCCAUUUGAGUAUUUUGUAAUUUUUUUGAAAUAUUUGUGGACAUAAAUAAAACCAAGCUACACUACA